This 406-nucleotide ribosomal RNA is filed under the name uncultured bacterium. Its description in RNAcentral is "partial 16S ribosomal RNA". It matches the Rfam family "Bacterial small subunit ribosomal RNA", at positions 28 to 526 of the family's 1533-position model. The record is from RNAcentral.
GACGAACGCUGGCGGCGUGCUUAACACAUGCAAGUCGAACGAGUGGCGAACGGGUGAGUAAUACGGGGGUAACCUGCACUCUUUUUGGGAUAAGCCUUGGAAACGGGGUCUAAUACCGAAUAAAGGGGGAUGGGCUCGAGGUCUAUCCGCUUGUUGGUGGGGUGAUGGCCUACCAAGGCGGUGCCGGGUAGCCGGCCUGCGAGGAAGACCAGCCACACGGGGACUGAGACACGGCCCAGAUGCCUACGGGAGGCAGCAGUGGGGAAUUUUGGACAAUGGGGGCAACCCUGAUCCAGCCAUGCCGCGUGCAGGAUGAAGGUCUUCGGAUUGUAAACCGCUUUCGCUAUCGAACGGGUAGGUGGAGAAGAAGCGCCGGCUAACUACGUGCCAGCAGCCGCGGUAAUUC